CAACUCUCUGCUGGAUAUUAGUGAAUGCUUCUGUUCCCGGGUUUUCAAAAACACCUCCUGUUUUGCCUGCUCACUGGCUGAGAAUAAAUCCUUUGGUAUUUCCAGAAAAGGGAGUUCGAUGACCUGAAGAGGAGAGAUCAUCCGGUACUAUUACAGGGCGUUGAGGAAACGUCACCUUUCUUACCUUGUAAUGGAAAAGGAACCAGCUGUUAGAACACGGCAUUAAUAAACAAGACAAUGUGAUGUGCCUGCAGUCUACAAAACCAGAUGUCAGGCUACGCCCAUCUGUACGAAUAAUGCCUACGAAAGGAAAGCUAUUUG
Long non-coding RNA from Austrofundulus limnaeus, 321 nucleotides. RefSeq lists it as uncharacterized. The transcript has 3 exons. Lineage: Eukaryota; Metazoa; Chordata; Actinopteri; Cyprinodontiformes; Rivulidae. The record is from RefSeq and is a predicted model, not a curated record.